AUGGAGGAAUUGUAACUCUCCCAACUCCUUGACAAGUUGGACAUACUUUUGGAGUUGAAUUCAAUGGAUAGCCCAAACCACUGCAAGAAUCACAUGGUACAUCUGCAUCAAAUGAAAGAUGUUUUGUGCAUCCUUUAGCAGCUUCAGAAAAAGAGAGAGAAAGCUCCACCUGAAUGUCUUGCGUCAGAUUUUCAGCCUCAUUUUCAAAUAUCUCAGAAAAUAUUUUCUGAAACGAACCAGAGAAUUGUGUGCUAUAUGUAUAUCUAAAAUCAUUGCCAUUCCUAUGAUUAUAAUUUAUAUUUUCUGUGUUGUUGCUUGGUG
RNAcentral lists this unclassified non-coding RNA (321 nucleotides) under Hevea brasiliensis (rubber tree). The record is from RNAcentral. Lineage: Eukaryota; Viridiplantae; Streptophyta; Magnoliopsida; Malpighiales; Euphorbiaceae.